This 932-nucleotide long non-coding RNA is filed under the name Camelus dromedarius (Arabian camel). RNAcentral's name for it is "lncRNA (ENSCDRG00005017758.1)". The record is from RNAcentral. Lineage: Eukaryota; Metazoa; Chordata; Mammalia; Artiodactyla; Camelidae.
AUGGACGCGCUCCCUCCACAUCGGACCGCAAGCCUCCUCACGGCUCAGAGACGCUUCCAGCCGCCGGAGGGGCCCGUGCACCGCCGGCAGAGAAAUGCGCUGGAGUUGUCUUUUCUGUCAUCUGGACACCAACAUCGUAGAGACUGGGUCCAAAUCUGUUACUUGCUUACCGAUGGCCAUGAAGGCACGAACACGAGCCCAGCCACGAGGACCUCCCGGACUUCUCCGUGUGCAGAGGGGGGGCCCCUGUGCGCAGUCCACAGCCCGGGAACUCUCUGGUCUCUGGGACUCCCGCCAGAGAAGCAUCUUCUCAGGUUCGUAGAAAAGGUUCUCACCGAGCUUCGCGUUUAUUGCUAACUUACAACGUCUGGUGGUUAGUGAUUGUGUAUAUUCCUUCCUUUUUUUUUUUUCUUAAUAAUUCCUUGCCUUCAUUCUGGGACGGAGUGUUAACUUCCUGACUCCACGCAUGCCCUUAACUUUCCACUUUUCGUGUUUCAAGUUGUCACAUCCUCACUUCUCUCGGUCACGUGGGGCGCAUCUCACAGAUGACACGGCUCAGACCUUACUUGCAUGGUUCCUCGCUAGCGCACGGCUACUGAAAAAUCCCUAAGUACAUAAAAUUAAAAGUAAUCAUUUUCCUGUUGCGGGUCCAAGAAUGCAUUAAAAAGGACGUCUGUUGCUAAUUCACCUGGAACCGGUGUGAACUGCCAGAUUUGGGAAUACAGAGAAACAUUUUUGUUCAAAAUAUCCAGCAGGGGAAAUAAAAAAACAUAAAAUGAGAACUAAGAGGAACACCUUUCUCAGGGGAGGAAUAUUCGCUGUGUUUUUCUUUGGCUUUAUUGAGGUGUCACCGACUGAUUUAAAUUGCAUCUGUUUAAGGCAGACACUGUUUUGAUUUGCAGAUAACAGCGCGAAAUGUCUACUGCCCGUUG